GAUCCUGGCUCAGAUUGAACGCUGGCGGCAGGCCUAACACAUGCAAGUCGAACGGUAACAGGAAGAAGCUUGCUUCUUUGCUGACGAGUGGCGGACGGGUGAGUAAUGUCUGGGAAACUGCCUGAUGGAGGGGGAUAACUACUGGAAACGGUAGCUAAUACCGCAUAACGUCGCAAGACCAAAGAGGGGGACCGUCGGUCGUCUUCGUCCACUCGAGUGUGUCCGACCGACUGGGAGUUAGUCUAGUAGGUAGGGGUAACGGGG
Molecule: ribosomal RNA, 264 nt
Filed under: uncultured bacterium
Lineage: Bacteria
Description: partial 16S ribosomal RNA
Rfam family: Bacterial small subunit ribosomal RNA
Source: RNAcentral